GGAGGGAUCGCAUAGUUGGUCUAGUGCGGCCGCCUGCUAAGCGGUUACGGGGGUAAUACUCCGUCCCGGGUUCGAAUCCCGGUCCCUCCGCCA
RNAcentral lists this transfer RNA (93 nucleotides) under Chloroflexota bacterium. Its description in RNAcentral is "tRNA-Ser". It matches the Rfam family "tRNA". Rfam says of the family: Transfer RNA (tRNA) molecules are approximately 80 nucleotides in length. RNAcentral also lists the same sequence under 1 other name. Lineage: Bacteria; Bacillati; Chloroflexota. The record is from RNAcentral.